ACGGAGGUUGCGAGCGUUGUUCGGAAUAACUAGGCGUAAAGGGAGGGCAGGCGGUUGGGUAAGUCUAAAGUGCAACCCCGGGGCUCAACUCCGGAAGUGCUUUGGAUACUACCCAUCUCGAGUUCGUGAGAGGAAAGCGGAAUUCCAGGUGUAGCGGUGAAAUGCGGAGAUAUCUGGAGGAGCUCCGGUGGCGAAAGCGGCUUUCUGGCACGAUACUGGCGCUGAGGCUCGAGAGCGUGGGGAGCAAGCAG
Molecule: ribosomal RNA, 251 nt
Filed under: uncultured prokaryote
Description: partial 16S rRNA
Rfam family: Bacterial small subunit ribosomal RNA
Source: RNAcentral